RNAcentral lists this ribosomal RNA (492 nucleotides) under uncultured bacterium. RNAcentral's name for it is "partial 16S ribosomal RNA". It matches the Rfam family "Bacterial small subunit ribosomal RNA", at positions 29 to 507 of the family's 1533-position model. The record is from RNAcentral.
AGUGAACGCUGGCGGUAGGCCUAACACAUGCAAGUCGAACGGCAGCACAGUAAGAGCUUGCUCUUACGGGUGGCGAGUGGCGGACGGGUGAGGAAUACAUCGGAAUCUACUUUUUCGUGGGGGAUAACGUAGGGAAACUUACACUAAUACCGCAUACGACCUACGGGUGAAAGCAGGGGAUCUUCGGACCUUGCGCGAUUGAAUGAGCCGAUGUCGGAUUAGCUAGUUGGCGGGGUAAAGGCCCACCAAGGCGACGAUCCGUAGCGGGUCUGAGAGGAUGAUCAGCCACACUGGAACUGAGACACGGUCCAGACUCCUACGGGAGGCAGCAGUGGGGAAUAUUGGACAAUGGGCGCAAGCCUGAUCCAGCCAUACCGCGUGGGUGAAGAAGGCCUUCGGGUUGUAAAGCCCUUUUGUUGGGAAAGAAAAGCAGCAGGUUAAUACCCCGCUGUUCUGACGGUACCCAAAGAAUAAGCACCGGCUAACUUCGUG